RNAcentral lists this ribosomal RNA (513 nucleotides) under uncultured bacterium. RNAcentral describes it as "partial 16S ribosomal RNA". It matches the Rfam family "Bacterial small subunit ribosomal RNA", at positions 28 to 523 of the family's 1533-position model. The record is from RNAcentral.
GACGAACGCUGGCGGCAUGCCUAAUACAUGCAAGUCGAGCGAACAGAUGAAGUGCUUGCACUUCUGACGUUAGCGGCGAACGGGUGAGUAACACGUAAGGAAUCUACCUAUAAGCGGGGGAUAACAUUCGGAAACGGGUGCUAAUACCGCAUAAUAUCUUCUUCCGCAUGGAAGAAGAUUGAAAGACGGCUCUGCUGUCACUUAUAGAUGACCUUGCGGUGCAUUAGUUAGUUGGUGGGGUAACGGCCUACCAAGACGAUGAUGCAUAGCCGACCUGAGAGGGUGAUCGGCCACAUUGGGACUGAGACACGGCCCAAACUCCUACGGGAGGCAGCAGUAGGGAAUCUUCCGCAAUGGGCGAAAGCCUGACGGAGCAAUGCUGCGUGAGUGAAGAAGGCCUUCGGGUCGUAAAACUCUGUUAUAAGAGAAGAACAAAUUGUAGAGUAACUGCUACAGUCUUGACGGUAUCUUAUCAGAAAGCCACGGCUAACUACGUGCCAGCAGCCGCGGUAA